RNAcentral lists this transfer RNA (87 nucleotides) under bacterium HR35. Its description in RNAcentral is "tRNA-Leu". It matches the Rfam family "tRNA". From Rfam's summary of the family: Transfer RNA (tRNA) molecules are approximately 80 nucleotides in length. Their secondary structure includes four short double-helical elements and three loops (D, anti-codon, and T loops). The record is from RNAcentral.
UGCCCGGGUGGCGGAAUUGGCAGACGCGCGAGACUCAAAAUCUCGUGCCCAUCAAGGGCGUGUGGGUUCGAGUCCCACCCCGGGCAA